This 497-nucleotide ribosomal RNA is filed under the name uncultured bacterium. RNAcentral's name for it is "partial 16S ribosomal RNA". It matches the Rfam family "Bacterial small subunit ribosomal RNA", at positions 28 to 507 of the family's 1533-position model. The record is from RNAcentral.
GAUGAACGCUGGCGGCGUGCCUAAUACAUGCAAGUCGAGCGAACGGACGAGAAGCUUGCUUCUCUGAUGUUAGCGGCGGACGGGUGAGUAACACGUGGAUAACCUACCUAUAAGACUGGGAUAACUUCGGGAAACCGUAGCUAAUACCGGAUAAUAUUUUGAACCGCAUGGUUCAAAAGUGAAAGACGGUCUUGCUGUCACUUAUAGAUGGAUCCGCGCUGCAUUAGCUAGUUGGUAAGGUAACGGCUUACCAAGGCAACGAUGCAUAGCCGACCUGAGAGGGGGAGCGGCCACACUGGAACUGAGACACGGUCCAGACUCCUACGGGAGGCAGCAGGAGGGAAUCUUCCGAAAUGGGCGAAAGCCGGACGGAGCAACGCCGGGGGAGUGAUGAAGGUCUUCGGAUCGUAAAACUCUUUUAUUAGGGAGGAACAUAUGUGUAAGUAACUGUGCACAUCUUGACGGUACCUAAUCAGAAAGCCACGGCUAACUACGUG